This is a long non-coding RNA of Lactuca sativa (garden lettuce), 836 nucleotides long. RefSeq lists it as uncharacterized. NCBI's taxonomy places the organism in Eukaryota, Viridiplantae, Streptophyta, Magnoliopsida, Asterales, Asteraceae. The record is from RefSeq and is a predicted model, not a curated record.
UGAAGAAGCGGGUUCAAUGUUUGGGGGUUUGGGACUGAUUUCGUAAUGUUUUGUCAAGUGAGGGUCUAUUUUGUUUACUUUAUCAAACUUAAUAGAAAUUAGGGCUUUUUAUUUGCUUCGUCAGUUGACUAAUCGAGCAAGGAAGGAACGAUGGAAGCAGAUAGAACACGAACGAAUGAAAGGCAGAUGCGAAUGAACAACAACGGGCAAGAAGGAAGCACGAAGGCGGCAGUGCUGCAUCCAGUUCCUUGCUCGUCGCAGGUCACGAAGAGGACCGAAGGAAGAACAAGCUCGCAGCCAGUACGGGGUUUUUGUCGAUCUAUCGCGAGAAGAGAGCGUCUCCAGUGGUAGACGGGGCCGAAGAUAAUGAGGGAAGAGCAGCGAGGCUGCGCUCUUUCUGUCCGAUUGCGAGGAGCGAAAAGGGAAAGCGAUUCAGUGGUUUUUGGAUCGAGGGUUUGGUGUGGCUAAGAGGUUGCGAAGGGAAGGAAAAGGGGAACAGAAGCAGCGGUGCUGCUGGUGGUCUCGGAGAAAGAAGGAAUAAAUCAGUGGUUGUUUGGCUUAGUUGUGAUCGACGGGAAGGGGGGAAAGGAAACGAGGAUGUUCUUCUUGUUUGCAGGUUGUGGGUUGUGCUUGAGUGUGGUCUUGGUUGAAGGAAGAGUGCAAGCAAGCUUGAGAAAUGCCAACAUAUUUUUUUUGUCUGUAAUUUUAGAUGUACAAGAAUUAAUAGCUGUCAUUUAUGUAUAAUAUGUGUAUUUUGUGUGAAAUUUGUAAAUAAUGAAUUUCCUCAUAGUAUAUGUAUUGAUAUAUUAAUUUAAUUGGACAUUUAUUUGUGUGUA